UGCAGUCGACGGCAGCACGGGCUUCGGCCUGGUGGCGAGUGGCGAACGGGUGAGUAAUACAUCGGAACGUACCCAGAAGUGGGGGAUAACGUAGCGAAAGUUACGCUAAUACCGCAUACGUUCUACGGAAGAAAGUGGGGGAUCGCAAGACCUCAUGCUUUUGGAGCGGCCGAUGUCUGAUUAGCUAGUUGGUNGGGUAAAGGCNNACCNAGGCGACGAUCAGUAGCUGGUCUGAGAGGACGACCAGCCACACUGGAACUGAGACACGGUCCAGACUCCUACGGGAGGCAGCAGUGGGGAAUUUUGGACAAUGGGCGCAAGCCUGAUCCAGCAAUGCCGCGUGAGUGAAGAAGGCCUUCGGGUUGUAAAGCUCUUUUGUCAGGGAAGAAACGGCNGGGGCUAAUAUCCUCGGCUAAUGACGGUACCUGAAGAAUAAGCACCGGCUAACUACGUGCCAGCAGCCGCGGUAAUACGUAGGGUGCAAGCGUUAAUCGGAAUUACUGGGCGUAAAGCGUGCGCAGGCGGUUUUGUAAGUCUGACGUGAAAGCCCCGGGCUCAACCUGGGAAUUGCGUUGGAGACUGCAAGGCUUGAAUCUGGCAGAG
RNAcentral lists this ribosomal RNA (603 nucleotides) under uncultured bacterium. RNAcentral describes it as "bacterial SSU rRNA". It matches the Rfam family "Bacterial small subunit ribosomal RNA", at positions 56 to 656 of the family's 1533-position model. The record is from RNAcentral.